RNAcentral lists this ribosomal RNA (397 nucleotides) under uncultured bacterium. RNAcentral describes it as "partial 16S ribosomal RNA". It matches the Rfam family "Bacterial small subunit ribosomal RNA", at positions 523 to 918 of the family's 1533-position model. The record is from RNAcentral.
AUACGUAGGUGGCAAGCGUUGUCCGGAAUUAUUGGGCGUAAAGCGCGCGCAGGUGGUUCCUUAAGUCUGAUGUGAAAGCCCCCGGCUCAACCGGGGAGGGUCAUUGGAAACUGGGGAACUUGAGUGCAGAAGAGGAUAGUGGAAUUCCAAGUGUAGCGGUGAAAUGCGUAGAGAUUUGGAGGAACACCAGUGGCGAAGGCGACUGUCUGGUCUGUAACUGACACUGAGGCGCGAAAGCGUGGGGAGCAAACAGGAUUAGAUACCCUGGUAGUCCACGCCGUAAACGAUGAGUGCUAAGUGUUGGGGGGUUUCCGCCCCUCAGUGCUGCAGCUAACGCAUUAAGCACUCCGCCUGGGGAGUAUGGUCGCAAGACUGAAACUCAAAUGAAUUGGCGGGG